UGCACUGCAGAGGGAAGGUGGGGGUAGAAGGGUUGAGGGUACCAAGGAAAUUAAAAUUUUAAGGGCUAAUUCCCCUUCAUUCAAGAAAUAUUUACUGUGAUGAAGACAUGUUCCAUGCAGAGGAAAUGGCCAAUGCAAAGAGCCCCUGACUGGAGGGCAUUUGGCACAUUCUAGGAGAGUGAGGAGGAUUCUAUGGGCCAGGAAUUCAGACAGGGCACAGUGUUGAUGGCUUGUCUGUGUCCUGGCUGGGAUGGCUCAAAUGGUUGUGGGACUAUUUGACUUGAAAGGCUGGAGCCUGGAAUCAUUUGAAACAUUGUUCACUCAUGUGUCUGGCACCUGCGUUAGAAUGACUGAAGGCUACAUCAACUAGAGUACUUACAUCCGGUCUCUCCAUGUGACUUGGACUUUUCACAGCGUGGAGGCUGGAUUUCAAAGGUCAACUGAGAAUGGCAGAGGACUCAUCCCACCUUUGCCACAUGGUGACUUGCCCCACUCCCCCAGGUGACCUUGCUCGUGCAUGUGGAUAUUUGCUCAGAUUAAGAAUGUUUCCCACAAAAUUGCUUACUCUCUUUCAUUCUGUCCGUGGUUGCUUGUGGUUUAUUUGUUGAUAACUGAGACUAUUUAAAGAUUGCCAAAACAAAAGCCAUUUCUUUUCUCCCCGAAUAGCCUCAUUUUUUCUAUUCCCUUUUUCCCCUCCUAUUAACAUUUCUGGGGACUCUAAAGCAGAGCUCAAGAUGGUUCAGGACCACGGAGAGCGCAAGGAAGGGGAACUACCAAAGCACUUUAGUCAUGCAGGUGGGGAAAGAGAUGAUCCUAAAAUUGUUUUUAUUUUUCUGUUUUUUUGAGAGGGAGUCUCGCUCUGUCACCCAGGCUGGAGUGCAGUAGCACGAUCUUGGCUCACUUCAACCUCCGCGUCCCGGGUCCAAGCGAUUCUAGCGCCUCAGCCUCCUGAGUAGCUGGGAUUACAGGUGUGCACCACCAUGCCCAGCUAAUUUUUUGUAUUUUUAGUAGAGACUGGGUUUUGCCAUGUUGGCCAGGCUGGUCUCCAAUUCCUGACCUCCAGUGAUCCACCCCCCUCAGUCUCCCAAAGUGCUGGGAUUACAGGCGUGAGCCACCACGCCCAGCCAAUAGUGGAAUUGUUGCCGGACAAUAUUUAUUUAAAAGACAUUAUUGUAAAGAGUAACAGUGUAAUUCUGGCUCCUUGAAAUUUGAGGGGAAUGAUUUUUCUGGACAUUCGACCAGUGCUUUCUAAAUUUCUCCACUGAAUUCUAUCUAAUGACAGAUGAGAGGACACUGAAAGUAGGAGUAGCCAUAAGUCACCAGUGCAAAAUGUCUUUUGAAGUUUGCAUUUAUUGAUUGCUACCAUUUAUGUAAAGUUUUACAGUUUUGACAGUCAUAGGGUUCACCAAUCCACCAUAGAAGAGAAUUAAGUCAUGCGGACACAGCAGGGUUUAGAAUGGAUGAGUAGAGGAGUGUGUGCAGGCUCCAGUCCCCAAAGUCUCUAGGACUGUCCUAGAACCUGCAGCUCAUCUGUCAAUUCUGUCAACUACUCAGGAUCCUCUCAAGAAUUAUCCCCCCAUACCCACCUUUUAAAUUUCCUCAAGCUAGUUUCAUUUGAGUUUUGUCACUUGCAACUGAAUGAGCCCUGCUAAUGCAGAUAGAUUCAAUUGAGAAGGGGAAUUCUAGGCUAGGAGUACAAGGUUACAGGCAAGGAGACAGGAACAUAGCUUGGGAUUUCCUGGGGCAGUGAGAAAACUGACUUUAAAAAAAUGGAAUGGUUUCUAAAAUGUUUGUACAACUUCUC
This is a long non-coding RNA of Homo sapiens (human), 1804 nucleotides long. NCBI's taxonomy places the organism in Eukaryota, Metazoa, Chordata, Mammalia, Primates, Hominidae. The record is from Ensembl.